UAGAGAGAAAAUUAUUUUAGUAACACACCUUUGUAGGCAUUAUAUUCUAGUUCUGAUGAAUUGUCUUUAAGCAUUUGUUGUUUGCCUAUAAACCAAAGUGGACCUGGAAUUCUUCUGGUUUCCUCAGGUAUCUAUGAUUCUUCAAACUAAUGUUUCCAUUUUUUUCUCAGUCUUUUGAUUUGGAACCAGUGAGAACUAAGCCUGCCCUUUUUCCUGGAGCUCAGCAAACUGAAGCUAGAUAACUUGGUAUGAGCUUCAGUGAAAUCAUCACAAGAGCUUAUCUUUAGACAAUCUGAGUGCUUGUUCCUGUGUGGGCCACUCAGAGUUUACCUGAACACUCAAUGACAUCAUCAGAAACAUUCAAACUGCAAAUGAUGCUUUGACCCUUACAUCUGUCAAUGGCAAGUUCCGUUUCUGGCCUCAGUUCUUGAGCUCAGUCAAGAAAGAAUUCAGAGCCAAACUCUCAGAAUCUGCGAACACUGGAGAAGCUCUGAAAACCAAGUUAUACUUCAGAAAGGGACAUUUACAUGUAUGUAUAAGGCAAAUCUCCAUUUGUAAAGGCGUCUCCCUUGGCUAUACCAGGAAGAGGGGGAGAAAGUCUCAGCCUCUAGAAACUCUUUUCAGUGGUGAAGGCAGUGACUUACACCUGCAUAACAACCCUCCCCUCCUAACCGUGCUUGUCCUGGUAACCUCCUAUAACUGACUUUUCACCUCCAACAUACUUUUUUUUGUCUUUAGCUGAACAUGAUAUUUAAGGUGAUGACUUUGGCCAUUGGGGAGAGUUAUUCAGUUUUUCUGGGUUUCAACCACAUGUACAUGUUACUUAACUUUUGUUAGUUUUUCUCUUGUUAACCUAUCUAAUAUCAAUUUAAUUAUGAAACCAGCCAAAGAACCUAGAAGACAGGAAGGGAAGACUUUUUUUUUUAACCCCUAUGCUACUAAUGUAAUCUGAACUAAUAUAGCUUUCAUUGCAUCUUGUACUCCAUUAUAACUCAUUUUAUUAGACUAUAAUAAAAUAG
RNAcentral lists this long non-coding RNA (1019 nucleotides) under Mustela putorius furo (domestic ferret). Its description in RNAcentral is "lncRNA (ENSMPUG00000031842.1)". Lineage: Eukaryota; Metazoa; Chordata; Mammalia; Carnivora; Mustelidae. The record is from RNAcentral.